RNAcentral lists this ribosomal RNA (253 nucleotides) under uncultured bacterium. Its description in RNAcentral is "partial 16S ribosomal RNA". It matches the Rfam family "Bacterial small subunit ribosomal RNA", at positions 524 to 776 of the family's 1533-position model. The record is from RNAcentral.
GACGUAGGGCGCGAGCGUUGUCCGGAUUUAUUGGGCGUAAAGAGCUCGUAGGCGGUUUGUCGCGUCGAAUGUGAAAACCCGGGGCUCAACCCCGGGCCUGCAUUCGAUACGGGCAGACUAGAGUUCGGUAGGGGAGUCUGGAAUUCCUGGUGUAGCGGUGAAAUGCGCAGAUAUCAGGAGGAACAUCGGUGGCGAAGGCGGGACUCUGGGCCGAUACUGACGCUGAGGAGCGAAAGCGUGGGGAGCAAACAGG